RNAcentral lists this ribosomal RNA (253 nucleotides) under uncultured bacterium. RNAcentral's name for it is "partial 16S ribosomal RNA". It matches the Rfam family "Bacterial small subunit ribosomal RNA", at positions 524 to 776 of the family's 1533-position model. The record is from RNAcentral.
UACGUAGGGGGCAAGCGUUAUCCGGAUUUACUGGGUGUAAAGGGGGCGCAGACGGCGAUGCAAGCCAGGAGUGAAAGCCCGGGGCCCAACCCCGGGACUGCUCUUGGAACUGCGUGGCUGGAGUGCAGGAGGGGCAGGCGGAAUUCCUGGUGUAGCGGUGAAAUGCGUAGAUAUCAGGAGGAACACCGGUGGCGAAGGCGGCCUGCUGGACUGCAACUGACGUUGAGGCCCGUAAGCGUGGGGAGCAAACAGG